Molecule: long non-coding RNA, 749 nt
Filed under: Hordeum vulgare
Lineage: Eukaryota; Viridiplantae; Streptophyta; Magnoliopsida; Poales; Poaceae
Description: long non-coding RNA (HVUL_LNC014926)
Source: RNAcentral
UUCUCAAUUUCGGCCACCAGUGCCUUGUUCGCCUCACGAGACUCCUCCAAGGACUUCUCUCGGUCAGCAAGAGCCUCCUUCACACCACCCAAGUCAUUCACAGCUGCCUCCAAUUCCGCAACAAGCUGAAUCUUUUCAGCCUUCAGAGCAUUAUAUGCUGAUCCCAUUUCGCAAGUCUUCUGCAAAUCAGCGCGAAGAGAAGGUCAGACACAUUCAACAAGGAAAACAAUAAAAGCUCAAAGUUCUUCAGACCCCUGCCGGCGCAAGCAGUCGACAGCGGUCACGGGGACUACACCCAGUGGGUUCACUAAGAGUGACCCCACUGGCAUGAAGCUCGAACAGGUCCGCCCUAUUGAGCUACAUGACAAAAACAAGCCUAUGAGGCUACUAUUACCCGACCUGACUAUAACUACUCUCGGGGACUACUUCUAGUGGGUGUACUCGGAGUGCCCCCACUGGUACCAUUCGAGCAGAUCAGUUCUGAUCCGAUCAAGUCACGGAAAAUUUAUAUUAAGACAACUGCCGGUGCAAGCACUCGACAGAAGUCUCGGGGAGUACACCCACUAGGUUCACUCGGAGUGAACCCACUGCAAAAUAAUACUACUGUAUCCGAGUCUAUCAAUUCAACACCAAGUGGGUUACAAGAGGAAAGUAAACACUUACUAGCGCACUUACUUGGAUAUCGUCCCGGAGCUCCAAGCUUCUCUUGUACAAAGAUGCGACGGAGUCAUACGCUCCCUUGGCAUCAC